This is a long non-coding RNA of Betta splendens (Siamese fighting fish), 3075 nucleotides long. RefSeq lists it as uncharacterized. NCBI's taxonomy places the organism in Eukaryota, Metazoa, Chordata, Actinopteri, Anabantiformes, Osphronemidae. The record is from RefSeq and is a predicted model, not a curated record. The transcript has 2 exons.
ACACACACCAAACACAACCCCAGGGCAACAGGCUUGUCUGGAGACUUGCUUUGCACCGUCGCACUGCUGACCCCACUUGUUCUGAUGACUGUGUGGAUGUCUGGGAGGAACCAGCUCCAGCACACAAGGCAAAAAAAAAAAAAAGGAUGAUUGGGAUGAGGCUCGCAGAAAAAAAAGUCCCUGGAAGAACACGCUUGAAAAUUUAAGAAGCCUAAAUGGAAGUCUACAACGCUAAUAAACUCCCUUAUUGAGUGAAGUCCAUUUCGGUUAUGUGUUAGUUAGUCUAUCGUUACACUAUAUACACAUUAGUAUAUAUUAGGUAGCCUAAUAUCAGAACAAGAGCCAGUGUAGGGGUCACAGAGAGACUCCAGGAUCAGCUUACAGUUGCCCUAUUACAUCAGCAUAAGUAACUGAAUCCAAAGCGCUAACUAGCUUAUGAGAGACCCAAUCCCUCUGACUGGCUUCCCUCUACUGUACCUCUAGGCCUGGCUAUGACUCUUUCCCAUCCAGCUCAAAGCACAGUGCUCUAUGGGUGUGCCUAAUGUGGACUCACUGAAAUGUCAAAGCAUUAUAUAUCCUUUUACGCACAGAGUGGCCCCUAAGGGUUUAAUUGACUAUGCUGUAAAGUGAGUUUGAGAGCCGCGAGAGAGUGAGAUGAAGAUGAAUAUGUUUCAUUAGAGGGCAAACAGAGCCUGAUGGCUAGGAUUGGCAUUGAGAGAGGAGGAAGAGUCGAACUCGGAAGAAAAACACAUUUACCCAUUCACGGUCGGCGAUGAAAAGUACAGGCGCGGCCGUCCACUCCCCGUCUAACUCACCGGUCCGAUUCAUAUUUAACACGUGCUCUUUUCACCUCUUCCCCGUUUCUUCUCUCCAGGCAACCCUCUGUCUUUCUCUGAAUCAAACAAGGUGGGAACGAGCUUCCGGCGCCUGCCUGGCAACUUCAAAUACCCAUCAAAGAACAGAGGGAGGAGAGGGGGCACCGCUGCUGUCCCGCGGCCUUCGUUUACCAAUUACUCUGAGUGGCUGCUGACAGUCGACCAUGUGGUGCUCAGAGGAAGUGUCUUGCACCUCCGAGCCUGAAGGAGACGGGAGAAAGGAAGCGUAGAGAAGACACGGAGGAAGACGGAGGAGGACUCAUCUUCAAGACAAAGGCUUUGAUUCCAACGGGGAGAAAUCUACAGGUUUUACAGAACCUCGGAGUGACAGAGAUUAAACUAAUUCAGUAAUUAUUCAUAGAGCAUUUUAUUUGAUUGUUUCUGGGCAAAACUAAACUUAACAACUUUCAAAUUUUGCUAAAGAAGCUGUCAACUUGGUCUAUCCAAAAAGCCCCACUGCGCCGAUCAGUCUGGAAGUGAUUUCAAAGCUAUUUGAAGGCCAAGGACUCCGAAGAUCCACAGUGAGAGACAAAAACUACAAAUUGCAGAGACUUGAACAAUAGUGAUCCUUCCUUGUGGCAGAACAUCAAAGCACAACUGUGGCUCGUCUCAAGUAAGAAAUCCAAGGAAAACUUCCAAGGAACUGCAGCCAUCUUUGUUCUCAACAAAGGUCAGCUAUUAUGACGACGGGCUCGCGAACGCAGCAUCGGGGGAGAGAGUGUCGAGACAGACGUUAUUUGGAACAUCUGUGUAAAAUCUUAAACGUUUUAGGGGAGAACGUUCCUUUGACUGAUGAGACAAACCUCGGACUGUUUGGAGGACUGGACUCCAGUAACACCAGCCAUAAACACAGAAUUCCAGCAGAAGAUCAGUCACAGAGGUGGGAGUGUGAUGUUGUGGGGAGGACACUGGACACUGGAGGACAAAGACGCUGUCAUUGAGUGAAACCUGAAGGUUUUUUUUAAAAUUGAAGCUGUACAGUUCUGGCUUCCUCACUAUGCGUCUUUCCCAUGGAUUAUCCCUCUUCAAACACCACGAGGCCUGAAGCCCCCUACCCGUUCCUCCUCUGUCAAGCCGUCUCAGAAACCCAGCCAGCCAACGAACACAACCGAGACAAAACACAACCAUAAUGGCUCAUUAAAGGGAAUGGAGCCGACUUGGGCAAACAAAGCAGCCUUCACUGGGCUGUCACCAAAACUCCUGCGAUGGUACGUCCAAACUCACGCUGGUGACAAGGAGGCGCAAAUGUCUCCCGCCCACUGAAACUCACGGCAGUUUGGAGUGUUUUGACUACGCGCAACGUGUCUCUAUUUGUUCUGUGACAAAUCUAAUGUGUGCACAGCGGAGUGACAGACCACGGUGCUCCAGAGAGGAGAGGAGUGUGUGUGUGUGUGUGUGUGUGUGUGUGUGUGUGUGUGUGUGUGUUCGUCUUUCUUAGAGGGGAUGUGUAAUUCAAAAGGUAUGACUCAAGCAUAUGAUUCACAUUUCACACUUUCAUACACAUUGAACCAUUCAGUGACCCUCGCAUUAAACCAACUGUAUUCAUUACAUUUCUUGAUAUCGUUGUACUUACUGGUAAACAAGUGUUUUCCAGAUGUUUUGUGAAUAACAGCUCAUUUUCUUUACUAUGCUCAGCUUAAAGAGACAAUAGCAGUCGAAACUCAGCAGAACGGUUACAGUGGGUCUGUCCUCUGCGUCGCACUCUCUCCAUGCUGUUCGACUUGUUUCUCCCAGUUUUUUUUUUUUUUUUUUAACUGAAGCUCGUGUGUACAGCUAAUCCCAUAGGCCACCACUGACCCAGCACCUACUGCAGGGAAAGAACAGUCAUAUCUGCUUAGCGAUCCCCCAGUAAUUAAGGAAGGCCCGCACCAUGCCUAAACCUCUCCCUGACACAGUGUUGUGUCUGCGCAGCAUGGAGACAAAGAGUUAUAAGAGGCUUAAGGCUCAUGUACCUGCCACCUGUGCCUGUGUGUGUGCGUGCGUGUGUGUGUUUCAAAUAAAAGGCAGACAGAAGAUUCAGAAACUGAUCAGAAAAGUAGAAUUAACCACCUUUACUGUUUCUUAAUUACCACAAAGUCUACCUCAGCACUAUAAAUACCCUCUGACACCCAAGGGACUCUGAAAAAUCCAAUUCCAACACACACACACACACACACACACAAACACACACACACACACACACACACACACACACACAGAA